AUAAUGAUACUUCUGAUCGUUCAGGCUGCCAACGAAAAGGACAGCGGGUGAAAUUCCCAUGA
This 62-nucleotide non-coding RNA is filed under the name Streptococcus canis FSL Z3-227. Its description in RNAcentral is "pemK RNA". It matches the Rfam family "pemK RNA". The record is from RNAcentral. Lineage: Bacteria; Bacillati; Bacillota; Bacilli; Lactobacillales; Streptococcaceae.